ACAGGUCUGUGAUGCCCUUAGAUGUUCUGGGCCGCACGCGCGCUACACUGACAGAGCCAACGAGUUCUUUUCCUUGUUCGAAAGAAUUGGGUAAUCUUGUUAAACUCUGUCGUGCUGGGGAUAAAGCAUUGCAAUUAUUGCUUUUCAACGAGGAAUGCCUAGUAAGCGCGUGUCAUCAGCAUGCGUUGAUUACGUCCCUGACCUUUGUACACACCGCCCGUCGCUACUACCGAUUGAAUGGCUCAGUGAGGCCUCCGGACUGGCUCGAGGAGGUUGGCAACGACCACCUCAAGCCGGAAAGUUGGUCAAACUCGGUCAUUUAGAGGAAGUAAAAGUCGUAACAAGGUCUCCGUAGGUGAACCUGCGGAGGGAUCAUUA
This 378-nucleotide ribosomal RNA is filed under the name Alternaria dianthi. Its description in RNAcentral is "SSU rRNA". It matches the Rfam family "Eukaryotic small subunit ribosomal RNA", at positions 1456 to 1831 of the family's 1831-position model. The record is from RNAcentral. Lineage: Eukaryota; Fungi; Ascomycota; Dothideomycetes; Pleosporales; Pleosporaceae.